CCCAGACUCCUACGGGAGGCAGCAGUGGGGGAUAUUGCACAAUGGGGGAAACCCUGAUGCAGCGACGCCGCGUGGGCGAAGAAGUAUUUCGGUAUGUAAAGCCCUCUCAGCAGGGAAGAAGAAAUGACGGUACCUGAGUAAGAAGCACCGGCUAAAUACGUGCCAGCAGCCGCGGUAAUACGUAUGGUGCAAGCGUUAUCCGGAUUUACUGGGUGUAAAGGGGGCGCAGACGGCGAUGCAAGCCAGGAGUGAAAGCCCGGGGCCCAACCCCGGGACUGCUCUUGGAACUGCGUGGCUGGAGUGCAGGAGGGGCAGGCGGAAUUCCUGGUGUAGCGGUGAAAUGCGUAGAUAUCAGGAGGAACACCGGUGGCGAAGGCGGCCUGCUGGACUGCAACUGACGUUGAGGCCCGAAAGCGUGGGGAGCAAACAGGAUUAGAUACCCCGGUAGGG
This 450-nucleotide ribosomal RNA is filed under the name uncultured bacterium. RNAcentral's name for it is "partial 16S ribosomal RNA". It matches the Rfam family "Bacterial small subunit ribosomal RNA", at positions 330 to 795 of the family's 1533-position model. The record is from RNAcentral.